UACACUUUUAGUUCACUGUGACACACACAUUGUGACCACACCAUGAGAAUAUUGUGAGCUCAUAGUGACAUCAUUGUGAGAUCAAAUUGUUGACUGGGUAUGGAUUACUUUGGCGAUGUUUUUUUGCGAUGAACUUUUUGAAACGUGAACAUCUUUGAUGAAUCUUUUCAUCGGAGGGACAUAAAUCUCUCAGAUUUCAUUAAAAUAUCUCCGCUUUUCUUUCGAAGAUGAACGAAAGUCUUCGAUGGUUUGGAACAUCUUAAGGGAAGCGCAUUAAUAUAGAACGUGAUUAAACUGACCUGGAACUACCUGCAGUUCAACACCUGCCAGCCAAUCAGAAUCCAGUAUUCAGACAGACCAUGGCAUAAAGCGGUAUGUUCUUAUUGUUACCAGCUUCUGCGUCUGGCUUCAGAACCUCACUGUGACUUCAGGUAAGAUUUGUAUUUAAUUAACGUUAUUUGUCUGUACCAGUCAUGUUUUUGACACAUGCAUUGGCAGAAAAAAAUUAAAUAAAAUUAGUUAACAUUAACAUUCUUUUAUUUGCAACAUGAAGUAUAUUUAUUUCUGAUUUCCUGAACAAUUUGGCUUCAUUGUAAUGAGGUUAAUGAUCUUUGAAAAACCAUGAUUAUGAACAUACAGUUACUUUGUCUUGAGCUGAUCAGCAAACUGUGGUAGUGUUGGUUGAUUGGUGUCUAUAUUUGUUCAAGCUUGACAACCUUAUGACUUUAUUUUCUAAUAUAUAUUUCUCAUUAGAACAAAGAUUAAAUUGUAAGAAGGGCUGCUUAUAAAAGCAUACAGUACAUCUGAAACUGCUGAGACUGGUAAGGUUUUUGACUAUAUUUCCGACCAGGUACAUCAUUCUGUCAUUCUUAAAUAGAAAACAAAUCAUCAAUCAUCAUUUGCCUUUUUUGUGUGUGUGCGUGUAAGAAAUAUUAACAUUUGUUGUUUUUCAGAUCAGCUGCUAUAGAAGACAAACUGAAAUCUGAGUGCAGAGACAAGCAAAGGAAUACUGCAAGACACUACUGACUAGGCUGUGCCCAGGUCUCCGGAACCUGCGACGACGCUCAGCUCCAUUGGCCCUUAGUCUGCGGCUUCGGAUCCACCAGCUCUGUCUCCAUCAGUCGGCCCCCAGAUGUCGGCAGCCACACCAUCUACAUCUUGGCUCCUCCCUCCCUCGACUCCGCUGUGUGUUGUCAGCUCUGGGAUGUUCUGGGUCUGUGCCAUGUGCCAAACACAUCUAAGCCGCCAGGGCAUCAUCGUCAUCCUCUCAUCACCAUCACUACACCACCUCCUCGUCCACCUCCGAAACCCCUCCAUCCCUCCCUAUUCUGUUGCUUGAACUUUAUCAUCUUCAGUCUUUGCGCACACAUCUAUUCACUUUACAUGUUUUUUUUUCUUCAGAAAAUUGCAUUGUAAUUUUUAUUCAUUGAUGUAAAAUUCUUUACUUUUCAGUAAUACAGGUAUAACUGAAAUGUUCUACAAAUGGAUAAGAUAGCUCUUCCACAGCAUUUCAGUCUUUUUUUCAUUUAUGUUUCUUGUAUAAUGUUUUAAAAUGUACUUGAGUAUGUUUGUAGUAAUACAAAAAUACUAUAAACAUACUUGUAUUUCAAGUGCAUUUUUUAAUACAUUUAAUAUUAUGGUUUUUUUU
Long non-coding RNA from Onychostoma macrolepis, 1648 nucleotides. RefSeq lists it as uncharacterized. The record is from RefSeq and is a predicted model, not a curated record. NCBI's taxonomy places the organism in Eukaryota, Metazoa, Chordata, Actinopteri, Cypriniformes, Cyprinidae. The transcript is spliced from 3 exons.